Unclassified non-coding RNA from Actinia tenebrosa (Australian red waratah sea anemone), 3595 nucleotides. The record is from RefSeq and is a predicted model, not a curated record. Lineage: Eukaryota; Metazoa; Cnidaria; Anthozoa; Actiniaria; Actiniidae.
GCCAGAAAGAAUUGUGUAAGUCUUAAGGGAAGGGCCAAUUUUUUUUGUGAAUAACAAUUAGGUCAAAAGAAAUGUAAAAAAUGAAUUAUGACACAGAAGAGUUUGAUAGUAAAAUGAUAACUACCGUGACAGCAAGAUCGGGAAGACGUGCAAGGUUAGCUUCAAUAUUAUAAGUUAUGGGGGAGGGGAGGGUCAGAAAAAAUUGUGCAAGUAUUUAGGGGAGGGCCAAUAUACAGGCCAAAAAUAAAAUGCACCAGCCCUCCCCUCCCCCCUCUAAUUUUUGACCUGUCCCUUAUUUUCAAGAGGAAAAGUGACACCUCAGCUUUGAACAUUUUGUCGAGUGAUGAGAUCGGCUGACUGACCACAGGAAGCCCAUAAGCAUYAUUUUUUUUCAUUUAAAAAUCCGCUGUCAACCACUGACAGUCGGCUCAUAAAACAUGGCGGAUAGCUUGGGGAAGAAGUUCCACGAUGCCGAUGUCUGAAUUAUUUGCUUCUCUAGGAAGCAACCCUUACUUUUCUGCAGGAUUUGGUCUAGUUGGAGUCGGUGCUGUACUAGCGGGCGUAAGAAAGGGAGGUAUUCAAGCUCUAGUCGCUCUACGACGCUACGCUCUUAUUACGUUGGAAGUCCCUUCAAAGGACAAAAGUUAUCAUUGGGUGUUACAAUGGAUCACAGCACAAGCAAACAGAGCUCAGCAUAUCAGUGUAGAGACGACAUUCAAACAGCAUGACACUGGUAGAAUCACUACCACCUAUGAUUUCGUUCCAAGCCCGGGGACACACUUUUUCUAUUACAAGAGGAACUGGAUUCGUGUUGAACGCACCAGAGAAAAAAUGGUGGACUUAACUACUGGUGCUCCUUGGGAAACGGUGACGUUGACUGCGCUCGGGAGAGACAAAAAAAUAUUUAAUGAUCUACUAAAUGAAGCUAAAACCAUGGCUUUGGCUAGGACGGAGGGAAAGACUUUGAUGUAUAUCCCAAUGGGAGCUGAGUGGAGGCAGUUUGGCUUCCCCAGGAGAAAACGACCUCUGGAUUCAGUUAUCCUUGACGAGGGGUUGAGUGAGAAGAUACUGAAUGAUGUCAAAGACUUUAAUACUAAUUCUAAGUGGUACACGGAUAGAGGGAUCCCAUACAGAAGAGGAUACCUAUUGUAUGGUCCACCUGGCUGCGGAAAGAGCAGUUUUAUUCAAGCCCUUGCUGGUGAGUUGGACUACAGUAUCUGUGUAAUGAACCUGAGUGACCGCAGUCUGUCAGAUGACAGGCUCAACCAUUUGAUGAGCGUCGCUCCACAACAAAGCAUCAUCUUACUGGAGGAUAUUGAUGCAGCAUUUGUCAAGAAAGACGAUUCAAUGGAUGGGAGCAAAAGAGAAAAUGUGUAUAUGAAUCGGGUCACCUUCAGUGGAUUGUUGAAUACUCUUGAUGGUGUAGCAUCCACCGAGGAACGCAUUGUUUUUAUGACAACCAAUCACAUUGAUAGACUUGAUCCAGCCCUGAUCAGACCUGGUAGGGUGGAUCUUCAACUAGAAAUUAGCUGGGCCUCUGAGAGCCAAAUAACCAGGAUGUUUGCUCGAUUUUACCCUGAGAAACCCAAGUCCCUAGCGAUUAAAUUUGCUGAUAAGAUUAUAGAAUCUGGUGGGAAGAAAAGUAUUGCUCAGUUGCAAGGACAUUUUAUGAUGUUUAAGAAUGAUCCUGAAGGAGCGGUGCUGAAUGCUGAUAAGAUGUGAGCUCUGAUAAAUAUAGUUGAGACCUUAAAAACACAGGCACAAAACAAGACAUCAUGAGAAUGAUCCUGACGGUGCAGUGCUGAAUGCUGAUAAAAUCCGGACGGGCACAAGUGCCCUACUAAUCGGGGAGACAAAAAGUGCUACUUCCACGAAGAAAAGUGAUGGAUAUCAUGGAUAUAUUGAUAACAUUACAGCAGUUACCUUGAAAAUCGUCUUCUUCAUCAUCAACAUCUUCAAGUUUAGGAAUUUGAUCGGUUUCGUCAUCUGAAAUUUUAAAAGUGAGUUUCCAAGCACAGAAGGCCGAAGCGAUCAGGAGGAGGAGAAGAAAUUGAAACCUCAUCAUGGACCAACAGGGCAACUGGGCGAACGAACAGAAGGGUGCAGGUUUGAUCUACUCACGCCUGUACACAAGUCAGAGCAGAACUGGAGGCAGACUGUAAGCUAUAACCAAUUAUAACCACUUGUCACGCCCGGAAAUCUAUUUCUAAACAUAAGAAUGACAUUAAUUAAUAUUAAAAUAACUGACGUCAAUCAUGUUUUUGAUUAAAUAAAUAUGCGGGCGUUUGGAAUUGAGUCGAUCAGCAAUGCACAGUAAAACUAUACAAAAUUUAUUUGUAAACACUUUCUCAGAAAGACUAGACCCUGGUUCCAGGAUAAGCUGGGUACCUGGAGGACCUGGAGGACCUGGUUUCAAAAUGUAUUGAGGAUUUAGUUGGUUGAGCUUCCCAAAAUACUGAUAAAGUAUUUCGUGACGUCUCGAAGUAAUGAUAAACCAGACCCUGGUUGAGACGGUUUACUAGUAUCAGAGUCUCUAAGGAGAAGUAAAAAUAAGUUGCAAAAUUUCGAACGAAAGCGUUCAAAGCCGUUUGUAGGCAGAGCAUUUAUGCCAUACUCAUCAAAAUCAUCGAAUAACUUAAUCUGGAACUCCAAUUCCAGUUCCGGGUCCUGCGUUUUGGCAUACGUAAUUAGCAAGACAUGCAAUUUCGCACGGCUCGCUUUAAAAUCAAAAUGCUUCAUUUAAAACGUAAAUACAGGCUAAUAUUUGCUCAAAACCUCUCUCAUCAUUGCUUAAUUAUUUUUUAAUGAAUCGCCAUUUUUUUGAAGAAAAAUGAGAGAGAUUAUAAGGCUUCGAACGGCAAAGAUCAAACCCUGGAAUGUGCGUAGAAAAUUAUUUAUUUUGCUUCUUAAAUCAAAUAGAAUCUUAAAAAUUGCUAUGUACCUCAUGUUCCUUUGUGAGUAGACUUUGAAGUCAAAACAGUUAAUAUAAAUACAUAAAUAUAGGCUAUAAGAAUAUCUAUAUUGUCAAGUUCCAUUUCAAGAGAAUACGACGAGUCAAGUUGAAUUAAUUUGUUUACUAUGGCUUAUCUUGAAACCUUGUUCUCCUUAUCGAUCUUCGCUUGUUCGUGCAGAAAAUACUAAUCGAGUAGAUGAAUUAAUAUGAAGAGUUAACCAAAAUAAGCUAUUGCUCAUAAAGUUCAUUUCUUCAGUAAUUAGUUUCAGACCGGAAGUAUUACUCUCAUGGAACUUGCCGGAUAGGAUAGCCUGUGAAGCCUGGCUCUUUGAAAAGGUGAGGGGGACUAAGCCUCUCGACUUGGACGAAGAACAAAAGAAAAAAACUGUACGCGUUGCAUUUUAAGACUCGUACGGCGGAGCCUAGGCACGAGUAAAAACGAGGAAACCUAAAAGAGGCAGUCGACAUUCUAUUUUAGUUUUCUUCAUGGGAAAGUCAGACAAUGAGUAAUGUUUAGGAGUUCUAUUGUUAGAUUUCUUCAUGGGAAAAAAUGAACUCAUAAAUGGUUGGCACCUAAAGAUAUGAUAUAGAUUGCUUAUUGUAUAAAUAUAAGAAAUCUCCAUAAAAAAGAACCUCGAAGUA